RNAcentral lists this ribosomal RNA (1300 nucleotides) under metagenome. RNAcentral describes it as "bacterial LSU rRNA". It matches the Rfam family "Bacterial large subunit ribosomal RNA", at positions 1633 to 2925 of the family's 2925-position model. The record is from RNAcentral.
CAUACACGACCGUACCGCAAACCGACACUGGUGCGCGAGAUGAGUAUUCUAAGGCGCUUGAGAGAACUCAGGAGAAGGAACUCGGCAAAUUGACACCGAAACUUCGGAAGAAGGUGUGCCUUUAGUAGGUGAACCUGUACAAGGGGAGCCCAAUGAGGUUGCAAAAAAUCGGUGGCUGCGACUGUUUAAUAAAAACACAGCACUCUGCAAACACGAAAGUGGACGUAUAGGGUGUGACGCCUGCCCGGUGCCGGAAGAUUAAAUGAUGGGGUGCAAGCUCUUGAUUGAAGUCCCAGUAAACGGCGGCCGUAACGAUAACGGUCCUAAGGUAGCGAAAUUCCUUGUCGGGUAAGUUCCGACCUGCACGAAUGGCGUAACGAUGGCCACACUGUCUCCUCCUGAGACUCGGCGAAGUUGAAAUGUUUGUGAUGAUGCAAUCUCCCCGCGGAAAGACGGAAAGACCCCAUGAACCUUUACUGUAGCUUUGUAUUGGACUUUGAACAGAUCUGUGUAGGAUAGGUGGGAGGCUUUGAAGUGUGGUCGCUAGAUCGCAUGGAGCCAACGUUGAAAUACCACCCUGGUGUGUUUGAGGUUCUAACCUAGGCCCGUAAUCCGGGUCGGGGACAGUGCAUGGUAGGCAGUUUGACUGGCCGGUCUCCUCCCAAAGCGUAACGGAGGAGUUCGAAGGUACGCUAGGUACGGUCGGACAUCGUGCUAAUAGUGCAAUGGCAUAAGCGUGCUUAACUGCGAGACUGACAAGUCGAGCAGAUGCGAAAGCAGGACAUAGUGAUCCGGUGGUUCUGUAUGGAAGGGCCAUCGCUCAACGGAUAAAAGGUACUCUGGGGAUAACAGGCUGAUACCGCCCAAGAGUUCAUAUCGACGGCGGUGUUUGGCACCUCGAUGUCGGCUCAUCUCAUCCUGGGGCUGUAGCCGGUCCCAAGGGUAUGGCUGUUCGCCAUUUAAAGAGGUACGUGAGCUGGGUUUAAAACGUCGUGAGACAGUUUGGUCCCUAUCUUCCGUGGGCGCUGCAGAUUUGAGGAAGCCUGCUCCUAGUACGAGAGGACCGGAGUGGACACACCUCUGGUGUAUCGGUUGUCACGCCAGUGGCAUUGCCGAGUAGCUAUGUGUGGAAGAGAUAACCGCUGAAAGCAUCUAAGCGGGAAACUCGUUUCAAGAUGAGAUCUGCCGGGGCCUUGAGCCCCCUAAAGAGUCGUUCAAGACCAGGACGUUGAUAGGUCGGGUGUGGAAGCGCAGUAAUGCGUUAAGCUAACCGAUACUAAUUGCUCGUGCGGCUUGACCC